GAACCAUUCUAUUCUGUUCCACUGAUUUUUCAUAUAAUCUUACAUAUAGUUGAGAAAACUACCUCACUGAAUUAAUUUUAAAAAAUAUAUUAUAUUCUACAAUUACUCUUCCUCGAAAUGGCUCUUUCCAGAGCAUAGGACAGAUGAAGAGGGAAAAAUUGGAGAACCUUCUUAAUGGCCUAAUCUAUAUGGAAACAACAAUGGGUGGGGGGGAAGGAUACAAUACAAUAAUUACAUUCCUACUUAUGCAUUUAUAUGGGAAAAGAAAAGAAACAAAACAAGAUGAAAGAGUAAGAAAAGUAGAAUAUGGGUCAAGGGCCUCAAGGCCUGUUAAUAUCCAUUUGAUGUUUUCUGGGAUUUCUUUCUGAAAUUUGCAACGCUGCAGUGGGGACAAAUGUACUCCAAUCCAUCUGUCUUGGCAUAGUCCUUAAAUGCACCAAGCCCCUGCCUCCUGUCACAGCCAAAAUGAGCCCAUUCACCACAUAUUCCACAGUUCACCCAGUCACCAGCUGCACUACUGUGACACAACAGGCAGCAUUCUCCAUCUACAUCAUCAUGGGCUAACUCAUAUUCUAAAAGGUAAGUUUCGUAAUGUCUUUUCAAUGUAUUGCCAACACCCUAGUAAUCAUUAAGCAGACAAAAAGCAUCAAGUUACUCCAAAAUGGCACAUGACAAGCAGUUCCCUAUUAGUUUGGGAAGCAUUAAAUUGCCGUUCUCUAAUGCUUAAUUGUAAAAAUUUCAACAUAUUUAUGGUACUCAUAGUUUAGGCCAAGCCUUCCAACACUGCCACAAACUCUAAAGCUUACGAGUACGUAAAGCAUCUGUAAAUUAUCAACAUGAAAAACUAGAAAGAAUUAUAGGGAAUUAUAAGGAACCAUACAGUCAUUCUAUUGGUCAAUGU
This 901-nucleotide unclassified non-coding RNA is filed under the name Hevea brasiliensis (rubber tree). Lineage: Eukaryota; Viridiplantae; Streptophyta; Magnoliopsida; Malpighiales; Euphorbiaceae. The record is from RNAcentral.